AAGAAUACUAAGAAGAUGGUCCUGUGCAGGAGCAGGACAUGAACACGCAACCAUCUAAUGCCAAGGCUGGAGCAGCGGUGGUGACCUCCAUUGGACCACUCAUACCAGAUCAAUUGGAGGUUUUAAGAGCUCCUCUCCAAGAUAUCGCUGAGAUGUCAUCACCAACAGCUGUUAUUUACGUUUGUACACAAGGACUGCAUUAAUCAGUCCAGGGGAUACAGCGAUGCAGAGUGUGGUCUGAGGAGCCGAACAGCGUGAAAUCCGCAUCCUGAUUUAUCUGACUUGCUGUGGGACCAAAACACAGCAUCAGGCAGUGCUGCUCCAGAGCUGCCACCAGACGAACCCAGCCCUCCGCCGCCGUGACGCUGCGUUCACUGAUGAGCCUGCUGGCCAGCAGAAGGGUGGUAGCACAGCCUCGAUGGACUCCAGCGUGUGAUGGGAGGCAUAGCAAAGCUUGGGUUUCCAUUUCCUAAAGGUUUAUGGAUCUUGAUUACAACCAGCAGGGAAUCCUUCGGUGAUGAAAGAAAAAAAAUAUUCAACCGCCCGUCUCUCCAAUGUGUCUGUUUGAAGACACUUUCUUGAUUUCAAAUUAGAGGUGUGCACGGUCUGGGAGUCAGGCUCCCUGGGAAGAUUCCAGAGUCUUCGAGCCUGUCAGAGCUGUGAGAGCCUGAAUUGGAAGGAACCUGGAAGCUUGAGAAAAGGCCAACUGACCCCAGGCAGGAGAUUCCCCACUGCCAGCAGAAACUUUCAAUGAUCCUCAGCUUCACAUGCUGCUCUGGAAAAAAGCUCUGAAGAAUAUGGAAGAUAUUGUAACGUAUUAUUCCUCUGAGUAAAAGAGUAUUCCUCAUCAGAAAUUCCUAUUCAGGAAUACUUCAAGCACUCCUGUGCCUUCAGGAUACGGUUGACAGCGCUGCAGAUGUGUGACUGUGAUCCUGAUGAGCCGGUGAGAUGAUCUGGAUGCAUACGUUUGCCAAAAACUGACUGGGAGAAUUGGAAUGAAAUGGAGCAAAACUUUGCAGAAUGUGGAUUGAGAAGGCUUUGGCACCUUGGCAUAGAAAAAAAGAAAAAAAAGCAACUAAAACUUGCCUUGUUUCCUGGCUGUUGAUAAAGGGUAGAAGGAAAGCACUGCAGCACUGGAGACCAGAAAGGGAGCAGAGCGUUACAGACUGCGCCUUGGAGGGUUAAAGUCUGUCGGCAGUCUAAGUGUAAGAUGUGUUGAGAGCCACUGGAGCAAUUUCCUUUGCCCCAUUUAUGGAGUGCUUUCCGAGACUCAGGCCUUUGCUGUAUUGCCAGCUCGAGGAGCAGGAAGAUGGGGAUUCCUUCUUGAACGCUGCUGUCAACAAGCACAGGACAGAGCCAGGACCAAACUGCUCUAUCUGCUGACAGCCGGAUCCCCACCCAGGAGCUCUCUGGAGCCACUGACCCCGUCCCACGAGCUACCAGCGUCGUGUGGCUUCUGUGGCACCUUCCAAGGAACAGAGCAUUUAUGUAUCUGGAAGAUAUUCAGGAAGGUGCAACAAGGCUGAUUGAGGGUAUAGAACAGCAUCCACAGGAGGCACAGCUCCGUAGACUGUGAUUCCUCAGCGUGGGAAGAGGCAACUGCGGGACGGAGCGAUAGCAGUCUCUGAAAUCGACUUUAAGUGAGAUCUCAGGAUGGGAACUGGAAAAGAAAAUCACUUGUGAGAAGCAAGCAUUUGAGGAAAAGUUUGUUUUACUGCCUGGUGUGGAAAGGGAAUUCUCCCAUAAAUGUCAUCGGUGCUGAGCCACCUUGGAUGACUGAAAUGCCAAAGGCUUGCAGGGUCCCCCAUCCUCAUCCAUCCACUGCCCUUUCCCUGGGAAGGACAGGCAUGCACACUGGCAGACGGGGCUGCAUCUGAGCAUUUCUGUGCUGUGACCGUCUCUCUGGACCUCUGGAGCGUUAUCACCUCUGCGGACUAAAGCAAGA
Cuculus canorus (common cuckoo) is the source of this 1945-nucleotide long non-coding RNA. RefSeq lists it as uncharacterized. NCBI's taxonomy places the organism in Eukaryota, Metazoa, Chordata, Aves, Cuculiformes, Cuculidae. The record is from RefSeq and is a predicted model, not a curated record. The transcript has 12 exons.